This 457-nucleotide long non-coding RNA is filed under the name Homo sapiens (human). RNAcentral's name for it is "non-protein coding lnc-F3-7:14". The record is from RNAcentral. Lineage: Eukaryota; Metazoa; Chordata; Mammalia; Primates; Hominidae.
AGACGCUUCCCUGCCCUCUCGCCUCAACCACCUCGAGGCAGCGGCUCCCAGGAUGUGCACUUUGACGACUAAAGCUGAGCCGGCGCCGCCACGACCUUGGGCGGGUGGUCGGCCUCUGCCCUGAGCAGGAAGUAGAAAGUCUCAGCAGACCCUUCCUGAGGGCCGAGCAACAGUGUAGUGGCGUAUUCCACAUAGCAAACAGGGACCCUGGGAGCAUCUGUGUUCUCGUGUUCUUCUUGCCUGUGAGGCCUCUUCUCUCUGAGGACAGAUGGUAGGACAGAGAGAAGACAGCAAAUGGAAAACAAAGGCUGCUAUUUUUUUGUGGGGCAGCAUUUCUUCCUGUGACAAUAUGGUGUAAGACAAAAUUGUGGCCUGCCAUGAAGUUGUGAGAGAAAAGCAUCCCUCAUUUCUUCAGGAAAGGCCACUGCCGUUCCCUCCGGCUCCUCUUCUCAGGAGU